AUUGAACGCUGGCGGCAGGCCUAACACAUGCAAGUCGAGCGGUAGCACAGGGAGCUUGCUCCUGGGUGACGAGCGGCGGACGGGUGAGUAGUGUCUGGGAAACUGCCUGAUGGAGGGGGAUAACUACUGGAAACGGUAGCUAAUACCGCAUAACGUCGCAAGACCAAAGAGGGGGACCUUCGGGCCUCUUGCCAUCAGAUGUGCCCAGAUGGGAUUAGCUAGUAGGUGGGGUAACGGCUCACCUAGGCGACGAUCCCUAGCUGGUCUGAGAGGAUGACCAGCCACACUGGAACUGAGACACGGUCCAGACUCCUACGGGAGGCAGCAGUGGGGAAUAUUGCACAAUGGGCGCAAGCCUGAUGCAGCCAUGCCGCGUGUAUGAAGAAGGCCUUCGGGUUGUAAAGUACUUUCAGCGGGGAGGAAGGCGAUAAGGUUAAUAACCUUGUCGAUUGACGUUACCCGCAGAAGAAGCACCGGCUAACUCCGUGCCAGCCGCCGCAGUAA
RNAcentral lists this ribosomal RNA (504 nucleotides) under uncultured bacterium. Its description in RNAcentral is "partial 16S ribosomal RNA". It matches the Rfam family "Bacterial small subunit ribosomal RNA", at positions 30 to 523 of the family's 1533-position model. The record is from RNAcentral.